This 1017-nucleotide ribosomal RNA is filed under the name uncultured bacterium. RNAcentral describes it as "bacterial SSU rRNA". It matches the Rfam family "Bacterial small subunit ribosomal RNA", at positions 355 to 1375 of the family's 1533-position model. The record is from RNAcentral.
UGAGGAAUAUUGGUCAAUGGCCGAGAGGCUGAACCAGCCAAGUCGCGUGAGGGAUGAAGGUUCUAUGGAUCGUAAACCUCUUUUAUAAGGGAAUAAAGUGCGGGACGUGUCCCGUUUUGCAUGUACUUUAUGAAUAAGGAUCGGCUAACUCCGUGCCAGCAGCCGCGGUAAUACGGAGGAUCCGAGCGUUAUCCGGAUUUAUUGGGUUUAAAGGGAGCGUAGAUGGAUGUUUAAGUCAGUUGUGAAAGUUUGCGGCUCAACCGUAAAAUUGCAGUUGAUACUGGAUAUCUUGAGUGCAGUUGAGGCAGGCGGAAUUCGUGGUGUAGCGGUGAAAUGCUUAGAUAUCACGAAGAACUCCGAUUGCGAAGGCAGCCUGCUAAGCUGCAACUGACAUUGAGGCUCGAAAGUGUGGGUAUCAAACAGGAUUAGAUACCCUGGUAGUCCACACGGUAAACGAUGAAUACUCGCUGUUUGCGAUAUACGGCAAGCGGCCAAGCGAAAGCGUUAAGUAUUCCACCUGGGGAGUACGCCGGCAACGGUGAAACUCAAAGGAAUUGACGGGGGCCCGCACAAGCGGAGGAACAUGUGGUUUAAUUCGAUGAUACGCGAGGAACCUUACCCGGGCUUAAAUUGCAGAUGAAUUACGGUGAAAGCCGUAAGCCGCAAGGCAUCUGUGAAGGUGCUGCAUGGUUGUCGUCAGCUCGUGCCGUGAGGUGUCGGCUUAAGUGCCAUAACGAGCGCAACCCUUGUUGUCAGUUACUAACAGGUUCUGCUGAGGACUCUGACAAGACUGCCAUCGUAAGAUGUGAGGAAGGUGGGGAUGACGUCAAAUCAGCACGGCCCUUACGUCCGGGGCUACACACGUGUUACAAUGGGGGGUACAGAGGGCCGCUACCACGCGAGUGGAUGCCAAUCCCAAAAACCUCUCUCAGUUCGGACUGGAGUCUGCAACCCGACUCCACGAAGCUGGAUUCGCUAGUAAUCGCGCAUCAGCCACGGCGCGGUGAAUACGUUCCC